GAUGAACGCUGGCGGCGUGCCUAAUACAUGCAAGUCGAGCGAACAGACGAGGAGCUUGCUCCUCUGACGUUAGCGGCGGACGGGUGAGUAACACGUGGAUAACCUACCUAUAAGACUGGGAUAACUUCGGGAAACCGGAGCUAAUACCGGAUAAUAUAUUGAACCGCAUGGUUCAAUAGUGAAAGACGGUUUUGCUGUCACUUAUAGAUGGAUCCGCGCCGCAUUAGCUAGUUGGUAAGGUAACGGCUUACCAAGGCAACGAUGCGUAGCCGACCUGAGAGGGUGAUCGGCCACACUGGAACUGAGCCACGGUCCAGACUCCUACGGGAGGCAGCAGUAGGGAAUCUUCCGCAAUGGGCGAAAGCCUGACGGAGCAACGCCGCGUGAGUGAUGAAGGUCUUCGGAUCGUAAAACUCUGUUAUUAGGGAAGAACAAAUGUGUAAGUAACUAUGCACGUCUUGACGGUACCUAAUCAGAAAGCCACGGCUAACCACGUG
RNAcentral lists this ribosomal RNA (497 nucleotides) under uncultured bacterium. Its description in RNAcentral is "partial 16S ribosomal RNA". It matches the Rfam family "Bacterial small subunit ribosomal RNA", at positions 28 to 507 of the family's 1533-position model. The record is from RNAcentral.